GAGAGUUUUCCCUCUCGUUCCUUGAAAGACAAAACUUCGGAUUGUUUAUUGACAGUGCCGCUUAGCAUGUAACAUCAAUGAUCUUCGAUCGCAUUUUUAAUUCAGCUCUAUUCCCUUAAAUUUCUGCAUUUCUUUACAGAGUUACUCUGCCGCAGAGAUCAACGCUCUUCGAUUAAAUUUCCCUAUGUAGAACGGACAAACAAAAUGAUCUCGCCAAAGCAAACCAGUGAAGGUCGAGGUUCUUCUCAUUUCGGACACACUCCUUUGCUGAUAAUCCAUAUUAUUGGAAUCUUC
RNAcentral lists this unclassified non-coding RNA (294 nucleotides) under Hevea brasiliensis (rubber tree). Lineage: Eukaryota; Viridiplantae; Streptophyta; Magnoliopsida; Malpighiales; Euphorbiaceae. The record is from RNAcentral.